Molecule: ribosomal RNA, 455 nt
Filed under: uncultured bacterium
Lineage: Bacteria
Description: bacterial SSU rRNA
Rfam family: Bacterial small subunit ribosomal RNA
Source: RNAcentral
UACGGAAGGCAGCAGUGGGGAAUAUUGCACAAUGGGCGCAAGCCUGAUGCAGCCAUGCCGCGUGUAUGAAGAAGGCCUUCGGGUUGUAAAGUACUUUCAGCGGGGAGGAAGGCGAUGCGGUUAAUAACCGCGUCGAUUGACGUUACCCGCAGAAGAAGCACCGGCUAACUCCGUGCCAGCAGCCGCGGUAAUACGGAGGGUGCAAGCGUUAAUCGGAAUUACUGGGCGUAAAGCGCACGCAGGCGGUCUGUUAAGUCAGAUGUGAAAUCCCCCGGGCUUAACCUGGGAACUGCAUUUUGAAACUGGCAGGCUUGAGUCUUGUAGAGGGGGUAGAAUUCCAGGUGUAGCGGUGAAAUGCGUAGAGAUCUGGAGGAAUACCGGUGGCGAAGGCGGCCCCUGGACAAAGACUGACGCUCAGGGUGCGAAAGCGUGGGGAGCAAACAGGAUUAGAUACC